RNAcentral lists this ribosomal RNA (815 nucleotides) under Paenibacillus sedimenti. RNAcentral's name for it is "Bacterial large subunit ribosomal RNA". It matches the Rfam family "Bacterial large subunit ribosomal RNA", at positions 396 to 1212 of the family's 2925-position model. Lineage: Bacteria; Bacillati; Bacillota; Bacilli; Caryophanales; Paenibacillaceae. The record is from Rfam by way of RNAcentral.
CCUAGAGGGAUCCUGAGUACGGCGGGACACGAGAAACCCCGUCGGAAUCCGGCAGGACCAUCUGCCAAGGCUAAAUACUACCUAGCGACCGAUAGUGAAGCAGUACCGUGAGGGAAAGGUGAAAAGCACCGCGGAAGCGGAGUGAAAAAGAACCUGAAACCGUGUGCUUACAAGAAGUCAGAGCACUCUAUAUGUGUGAUGGCGUGCCUUUUGUAGAAUGAACCGGCGAGUUACGUUUGCAUGCGAGGUUAAGCUGAAGAGGCGGAGCCGCAGCGAAAGCGAGUCUGAAUAGGGCGCAUGAGUAUGUAGACGUAGACCCGAAACCGUGUGAUCUACCCCUGUCCAGGGUGAAGGUGAGGUAACACUCACUGGAGGCCCGAACCCACGAAUGUUGAAAAAUUCGGGGAUGAGGUGGGGGUAGCGGAGAAAUUCCAAUCGAACUCGGAGAUAGCUGGUUCUCCCCGAAAUAGCUUUAGGGCUAGCCUCGGAAGAUGAGUUGUGGAGGUAAAGCACUGAUUGGGUGCGGGGCCCGCCAAGGGUUACCAAGUCCAGUCAAACUCUGAAUGCCACAAACUUUAUUCCGGGAGUCAGACAGUGAGUGCUAAGAUCCAUUGUCAAAAGGGAAACAGCCCAGACCAUCAGCUAAGGUCCCCAAGUGUGUGUUAAGUGGGAAAGGAUGUGGAGUUGCACAGACAACCAGGAUGUUGGCUUAGAAGCAGCCACCAUUGAAAGAGUGCGUAAUAGCUCACUGGUCGAGUGACUCUGCGCCGAAAAUGUAACGGGGCUAAACACGCCACCGAAGCUAUGGCUUGCAC